RNAcentral lists this ribosomal RNA (505 nucleotides) under uncultured bacterium. Its description in RNAcentral is "bacterial SSU rRNA". It matches the Rfam family "Bacterial small subunit ribosomal RNA", at positions 28 to 526 of the family's 1533-position model. The record is from RNAcentral.
AAUGAACGUUGGCGGCGUGGAUUAGGCAUGCAAGUCGAGCGACGGGCCCCUUUCGGGGGGCUACGGAGCGGCAAACGGGGUAGUAAGGCGUAGGUGACGUACCCCAGGAUCUGGGAUAGCCACGGGAAACCGUGGGUAAUACCGGAUAAUCUCCCGAGUCAUUGCGGUCUUGGGAGCAAAGGUGUGAUUCCGUCCUGGGAGCGGCUUACGUGAUACUAGCUAGUUGGUGGGGUAACGGCCUACCAAGGCGAUGAUGUCUAGGGGGUGUGAGAGCAUGGCCCCCACCACUGGGACUGAGACACGGCCCAGACACCUACGGGUGGCUGCAGUCGAGAAUCUUCGGCAAUGGGCGAAAGCCUGACCGAGCGACGCCGCGUGCGGGAUGAAGGCCCUCGGGUUGUAAACCGCUGUCAGAGGGGAUGAAAUCACCGGGAGUUCUCUCCCGGUGUUGACAGAGCCUCAGAGGAAGCACGGGCUAAGUACGUGCCAGCCGCCGCCGUAACAC